ACUCAAUUUAGAGCAAAAGAACAACAGAUAUAUCUAAAAUACACUUAAGGACAUCUCCAUCAAAUUAUGACAGCCAGUACACUUCACCUUGUAUGUUUUGGUUCAAGUUCAAACUGAAUUCCAGAUUUGGACCCUUUCCUGAAGUUCAGCAUGACAAAGCAUUUCCUUUGCAGCAUGGGAUAUGCUUUCUAAGAUCAUCUGAAUAUAUUAGGUCCUGCUAUUUCAGUCUGGAGGCUCUUCUCUCACUUUGUCUGUAGUACACACUGUAGUCUGAGGAGGACUAAAAUGUUUUACUUUAAUUCAAGCUGAUGAAGCUCAUAGAGUAUCUGUGUGAAAUUUAAUUGCCUGUAAAAUGCAGGUCAGUUUAGAUGAUCUAAUGGUCCCCUAUGGCCUUAAACUAUACAAUAUCUGUCAAACAAACCAUUAAAAUGUUGCUGGGUGUAAUAAUCACAAAGAUAACUAUGGAUUUUGUAAAUGCCCUCUAAUUUACAUGGCACCCUUUAUAGUCUGCGUACAAGCUCUAAUUAGCUAUUUUAAUGAUGCUCCUAAGUGUGGUAAGUGGUUUGUAUAACAUAGAAUUUAAGAGUUACUGGCAUAGCAGGGAUCAGAUCUAUACAACAGAACUCUCUUGUCCUCCAAAGCUGAGGCUGCACCUCUCAGAGCAGCACAAUGUUCCUCAGUGCUUAGAAAGUCAGAUGUUCUCCCAGGUGUUAUGUGGGCGAGCAGCAUGUAUCCCAUGCCAAAAUUGCACCUAGAACUAUAUUAAGAAAACUACCUGUGGGAAUGGUUGCACAUGUCUUUGUUCCUUGCUCUGUUUAGUUUUAAAUACAUAUUUUUUUGAAACUUAGAUAUAAUUAGCAUUAAUGUGUUGGUAGCUUGGCAAGUGCAUGGAGGAAGAGGGAGGAAGAAGGAAGAAUGGCUCAGAAACAAAGUACUACUCAGCCAACUCUAGGAAUUUGUUCAGACAAUGAUAUAUCUGUUGGCUUCUGUACCACCAGUUAAUGCUUUUUUUAUUUUACAGCCUUAUAUUCAAAACCAUGGAGCACAGCUUCAUUUAGAGGGAGUUUUUUUCUGCCCAGAUGAGGGUGACCCUCAGCACUUCCCUGAGGAUUCUGGUGAAGAAAAAUCUACCCAGGUCUGCCAGCAGGGAUGGCUGGUUUCUUUUAUAACCACAGGACAAAUAUGACCAAAACCAGGUUUACCAGGCAUGCAACAGGUGUGGCACACUGUUUUCUGUCUCACUGUUAAGGGGAGGGACACUUGUGGCAAACCUGUUUGCAAAGCUUAUAGCCAGACCUUGGCUGGUGCCUUCCUGGUGAAACAACAGUGUGAAGGAAGCUGUGCCAUGUCUGCAGCAUCAAGUGAAGCCAUGUGAAAAAAGAUGUCUUGUGCACAUCAAGCACACUGGGCUGCAGAUUCAACAGGCAUUUCUGCACACAAAGUCUUCUGGAAUUGCAGUUUUCACUGCCCAGGUCUUCAGAACAUGCCAGAAAGGUUGGGAACUUUUGUGCCAGUUCAUGGAUGCUGAGGCCAAUGUUGCAGUUGAUCUAAAUGUGAAAAUAUGUCACCUUUUCAUAAUCCCUUUUCUCUCUAUUAUCAGCUUAAGUAUUUCUGGCUAUUUCCUUGUGCUCAAGUUAUUUGUCUUCUUGUUCCAGAACCUUAUAAAGGCUUGCAAAUAGCUACAGGCCAAGUUCCAUUAUAAACUUUAAUUCAAAUAUUUGUUUGUGUAGAAAUCUGAGAUACCAAAUAAUAGAAGCAAAUAGUCAUUUUAUACAUUAGUAUUCUGAAAUAUAUUUUCAAAGUACCUUUUAUUGUAUGUCUAGUAAUAAUGGCACUGGCUUAUUAAAUGGAGA
This 1853-nucleotide long non-coding RNA is filed under the name Zonotrichia albicollis (white-throated sparrow). Its description in RNAcentral is "lncRNA (ENSZALG00000015731.1)". The record is from RNAcentral. Lineage: Eukaryota; Metazoa; Chordata; Aves; Passeriformes; Passerellidae.